GGCCAGAUAGCUCAGUUGGUAGAGCAGAGGACUGAAAAUCCUUGUGUCGGGAGUUCAAAUCUCUCUCUGGCCA
This 73-nucleotide transfer RNA is filed under the name Spirochaetota bacterium. Its description in RNAcentral is "Spirochaetes bacterium (activated sludge metagenome) tRNA-Phe". It matches the Rfam family "tRNA". Rfam says of the family: Transfer RNA (tRNA) molecules are approximately 80 nucleotides in length. Their secondary structure includes four short double-helical elements and three loops (D, anti-codon, and T loops). The record is from RNAcentral. RNAcentral also lists the same sequence under 1 other name. Lineage: Bacteria; Pseudomonadati; Spirochaetota.